ACAGCCCCACCAGUCCAGACAAUGGAAACAGCUUCAAAGGAAUAACAUGCUUUUGCCGCUCCCCUUGGAGUUGGUCUGUAUCCUGCUAUUCCCCACCCCCCGUCAUCCCCAAGCUCUCGUUUGAGCAUGUUGUCCCUAAGACUAUUUCCUGUAUGUUGAGGUGUUUUAGGUUUGUAGUAGUGGAUUUCAGAUCUUCAAUACCUGUAUUUCUUACAUGAUAAAUUUUAUCGGAUAAAGUAAAACUUUAUGGUGGCAGUAGCUCAUGGAAAAGAAAAGGAAGGCAUUGUAAAGAGGAUUUGCACAACUGGGCUAUUACUGGGAAGAACUCCGGGAUGAACAAUCCUUUUAGGCUUUUAUUUCCCAGUUGCUUCUCAGACGCACCAUGUGGGAAAGGAAAAGGAUUAUUCGAUCAUCUCAUUAGUGGACCAAUAAUUUUAUGCAUGGGCGGUGGAAAUAAAUUCAAGACUAACAUUCAAAUUUUGAGGAUUG
This 489-nucleotide long non-coding RNA is filed under the name Vitis vinifera (wine grape). RNAcentral describes it as "long non-coding RNA (VVIN_LNC002505)". Lineage: Eukaryota; Viridiplantae; Streptophyta; Magnoliopsida; Vitales; Vitaceae. The record is from RNAcentral.